Molecule: ribosomal RNA, 433 nt
Filed under: uncultured bacterium
Lineage: Bacteria
Description: partial 16S ribosomal RNA
Rfam family: Bacterial small subunit ribosomal RNA
Source: RNAcentral
AACGAACGCUGGCGGCAGGCCUAACACAUGCAAGUCGAGCGGACCUAUCGGGGUCAGCGGCGGCCGGGUGUGUAACGCGUGGGGAUAUUCCCUUCUCUACGGCAUAGUUCUGGGAAACUGGGGGUAAUACCGUAUACGCCCUUUUGGGGGAAGAUUUAUCGGGGCAGGAUUAGCCCGCGUUGGAUUAGGUGGUUGGUGGGGUUAUGGGCUCUCACGCGGACAAUUCGUAGCUGGGUGGAGAGGAUGAUUACCCACACUGGGACUGGGACACGGCCCAGACUCCUACGGGAUGCAGGAGUGGGGAAUCGAAGACAGCGGCGGGAGUCAUGAUGGAGUCAGGACGCGAGAGUGAUGUAAGCCUGAGAGAAGUAAAGCGUAAUCAGCUGGGAAGAUAAUGACGGUACCAGCAGAAGAAGCCCCGGCUAACUCCGUG